GGUCAAUCUAUUGUAUUUUAUGAAGCGAUCAUUAUUGCAUUCAUGCCUUCAUAAUUAAACCAAUGGAAUUAUCAAUAGACGUCAACCUUUUUCGGAGAAUUGAUCAAAAGCCAACAAACCUUUAUAAUCGGUGGACCUUAAGUCAGGUAACAGUCAUAGACCUUGCUUUUCCGUCAUAAACCAGUUACAAUUUCAGGGACAUUCGUAUAUACUGGUAUAUUGCUAGAGGGAAUCAUUGAAACUAUGUCAGAAACUAGACACUCGGCAAU
This 269-nucleotide unclassified non-coding RNA is filed under the name Lingula anatina. RNAcentral's name for it is "uncharacterized LOC106151813, transcript variant X6". Lineage: Eukaryota; Metazoa; Brachiopoda; Lingulata; Lingulida; Lingulidae. The record is from RNAcentral.